GACGAACGCUGGCGGCGUGCUUAACACAUGCAAGUCGAACGGAAAGGCCCUGCUUUUGUGGGGUGCUCGAGUGGCGAACGGGUGAGUAACACGUGAGUAACCUGCCCUUGACUUUGGGAUAACUUCAGGAAACUGGGGCUAAUACCGGAUAGGAGCUCCUGCUGCAUGGUGGGGGUUGGAAAGUUUCGGCGGUUGGGGAUGGACUCGUGGCUUAUCAGCUUGUUGGUGGGGUAGUGGCUUACCAAGGCUUUGACGGGUAGCCGGCCUGAGGGGGGGACCGGACCCAAUAGGGGGGGAGAGAGGCCCGGACGACCACCGGGGGGGAGGGGGGGGGAUGAUUGCAUGAAGGGGGGGAGAUGGGUGGAGAAAACCGGGGGGGGGGAGGAGGGCUUUCGGGUGGGAAGCAAAUUUCGCUUAGGAGGAAGGAUAAUGACGGUAACGGGGGAAAAAGCACCGGCUAAAUUCGGG
Molecule: ribosomal RNA, 468 nt
Filed under: uncultured bacterium
Lineage: Bacteria
Description: partial 16S ribosomal RNA
Rfam family: Bacterial small subunit ribosomal RNA (bases 20-330)
Source: RNAcentral